RNAcentral lists this unclassified non-coding RNA (365 nucleotides) under Hevea brasiliensis (rubber tree). Lineage: Eukaryota; Viridiplantae; Streptophyta; Magnoliopsida; Malpighiales; Euphorbiaceae. The record is from RNAcentral.
GUAAAGAAUCAUUAGUUUAUGUAUGGAUAGUGAGGACUCAGAACAGGAUCUUUUAGUUUAAAAAAUCAUUUGGAUGAGGUCUAAAUCACGUUGAUUGUUUUUAUUUCUUUGUGAAAUUAUUAAGAUUUGGUUGAAGAGUUUAUUCUCCUUGUUUAUGUGUCCAAAUCUUUUAUUAUAAAAGUUAUUGGGCAGAUACAAUUAAAAGAAAUUAAAAUCAAAAUGGUUAGCUUUGAUGUUUUUCAAGCCCCUAGCUGAUGGAGAAUGUGUCCAAAUGAUUAGAUGCAUUUGUUGGGAAUACUGGCUAGCUUUGGGCUGAUUUAUGGCAUAUCCUUCAGCUGAUUUUAAUUUUUUCAAUGGCCACAUUA